GACGAACGCUGGCGGCGUGCUUAACACAUGCAAGUCGAACGCUGAAGCUCAGCUUUUGUUGGGUGGAUGAGUGGCGAACGGGUGAGUAACACGUGAGUAACCUGCCUCCUUCUUUGGGAUAACGCCCGGAAACGGGUGCUAAUACUGGAUAUUCACUGGUCUUCGCAUGGGGGUUGGUGGAAAGGGUUUUUCUGGUGGGUGAUGGGCUCGCGGCCUAUCAGCUUGUUGGUGGGGUGAUGGCCUACCAAGGCUUUGACGGGUAGCCGGCCUGAGAGGGUGACCGGUCACAUUGGGACGGAGAUAAGGCCCAGACGCCUACGGGAGGCAGCAGUGGGGAAAAUUGCACAAUGGGCGAAAGCCUGAUGCAGCGACGCCGCGUGAGGGAUGGAGGCCUUCGGGUUGUGAACCUCUUUCGCUCAUGGUCAAGCCGCAACAAUGGUUGUGGUGAGGGUAGUGGGUAAAGAAGCGCCGGCUAACUACGUG
Molecule: ribosomal RNA, 483 nt
Filed under: uncultured bacterium
Lineage: Bacteria
Description: partial 16S ribosomal RNA
Rfam family: Bacterial small subunit ribosomal RNA
Source: RNAcentral